Molecule: ribosomal RNA, 2399 nt
Filed under: Salmonella enterica subsp. enterica serovar Typhimurium
Lineage: Bacteria; Pseudomonadati; Pseudomonadota; Gammaproteobacteria; Enterobacterales; Enterobacteriaceae
Description: bacterial LSU rRNA
Rfam family: Bacterial large subunit ribosomal RNA
Source: RNAcentral
GGUUAACCGUAUAGGGGAGCCGGAGGGAAACCGAGUCUUAAUUGGGCGUUAAGUUGCAGGGUAUAGACCCGAAACCCGGUGAUCUAGCCAUGGGCAGGUUGAAGGUUGGGUAACACUAACUGGAGGACCGAACCGACUAAUGUUGAAAAAUUAGCGGAUGACCUGUGGCUGGGGGUGAAAGGCCAAUCAAACCGGGAGAUAGCUGGUUCUCCCCGAAAGCUAUUUAGGUAGCGCCUCGUGAAUUCAUCUCCGGGGGUAGAGCACUGUUUCGGCUAGGGGGCCAUCCCGGCUUACCAACCCGAUGCAAACUGCGAAUACCGGAGAAUGUUAUCACGGGAGACACACGGCGGGUGCUAACGUCCGUCGUGAAGAGGGAAACAACCCAGACCGCCAGCUAAGGUCCCAAAGUCAUGGUUAAGUGGGAAACGAUGUGGGAAGGCCCAGACAGCCAGGAUGUUGGCUUAGAAGCAGCCAUCAUUUAAAGAAAGCGUAAUAGCUCACUGGUCGAGUCGGCCUGCGCGGAAGAUGUAACGGGGCUAAACCAUGCACCGAAGCUGCGGCAGCGAACGUAUCACCCAAGACAACUUUACGGAGUUGACGAUUGACGGAGCGAAGCGACGUCAAAGCGUUCAUUAAAGUCGAGUUGGCUUAGGGAUACGUUCGUUGGGUAGGGGAGCGUUCUGUAAGCCUGUGAAGGUGUGUCGUGAGGCAUGCUGGAGGUAUCAGAAGUGCGAAUGCUGACAUAAGUAACGAUAAAGCGGGUGAAAAGCCCGCUCGCCGGAAGACCAAGGGUUCCUGUCCAACGUUAAUCGGGGCAGGGUGAGUCGACCCCUAAGGCGAGGCCGAAAGGCGUAGUCGAUGGGAAACGGGUUAAUAUUCCCGUACUUGGUGUUACUGCGAAGGGGGGACGGAGAAGGCUAUGUUGGCCGGGCGACGGUUGUCCCGGUUUAAGCGUGUAGGUGUGUGUUCCAGGUAAAUCCGGUUCACUUUAACACUGAGGCGUGACGACGAGGCACUACGGUGCUGAAGCAACAAAUGCCCUGCUUCCAGGAAAAGCCUCUAAGCAUCAGGUAACAUCAAAUCGUACCCCAAACCGACACAGGUGGUCAGGUAGAGAAUACCAAGGCGCUUGAGAGAACUCGGGUGAAGGAACUAGGCAAAAUGGUGCCGUAACUUCGGGAGAAGGCACGCUGACACGUAGGUGAAGUGAUUUACUCAUGGAGCUGAAGUCAGUCGAAGAUACCAGCUGGCUGCAACUGUUUAUUAAAAACACAGCACUGUGCAAACACGAAAGUGGACGUAUACGGUGUGACGCCUGCCCGGUGCCGGAAGGUUAAUUGAUGGGGUCAGCGCAAGCGAAGCUCCUGAUCGAAGCCCCGGUAAACGGCGGCCGUAACUAUAACGGUCCUAAGGUAGCGAAAUUCCUUGUCGGGUAAGUUCCGACCUGCACGAAUGGCGUAAUGAUGGCCAGGCUGUCUCCACCCGAGACUCAGUGAAAUUGAACUCGCUGUGAAGAUGCAGUGUACCCGCGGCAAGACGGAAAGACCCCGUGAACCUUUACUAUAGCUUGACACUGAACAUUGAGCCUUGAUGUGUAGGAUAGGUGGGAGGCUUUGAAGUGUGGACGCCAGUCUGCAUGGAGCCGACCUUGAAAUACCACCCUUUAAUGUUUGAUGUUCUAACGUGGACCCGUAAUCCGGGUUGCGGACAGUGUCUGGUGGGUAGUUUGACUGGGGCGGUCUCCUCCUAAAGAGUAACGGAGGAGCACGAAGGUUGGCUAAUCCUGGUCGGACAUCAGGAGGUUAGUGCAAUGGCAUAAGCCAGCUUGACUGCGAGCGUGACGGCGCGAGCAGGUGCGAAAGCAGGUCAUAGUGAUCCGGUGGUUCUGAAUGGAAGGGCCAUCGCUCAACGGAUAAAAGGUACUCCGGGGAUAACAGGCUGAUACCGCCCAAGAGUUCAUAUCGACGGCGGUGUUUGGCACCUCGAUGUCGGCUCAUCACAUCCUGGGGCUGAAGUAGGUCCCAAGGGUAUGGCUGUUCGCCAUUUAAAGUGGUACGCGAGCUGGGUUUAGAACGUCGUGAGACAGUUCGGUCCCUAUCUGCCGUGGGCGCUGGAGAACUGAGGGGGGCUGCUCCUAGUACGAGAGGACCGGAGUGGACGCAUCACUGGUGUUCGGGUUGUCAUGCCAAUGGCACUGCCCGGUAGCUAAAUGCGGAAGAGAUAAGUGCUGAAAGCAUCUAAGCACGAAACUUGCCCCGAGAUGAGUUCUCCCUGAGACUUAGAGUCUCCUGAAGGAACGUUGAAGACGACGACGUUGAUAGGCCGGGUGUGUAAGCGCAGCGAUGCGUUGAGCUAACCGGUACUAAUGAACCGUGAGGCUUAACCUUACAACGCCGAAG